This 498-nucleotide ribosomal RNA is filed under the name uncultured bacterium. Its description in RNAcentral is "partial 16S ribosomal RNA". It matches the Rfam family "Bacterial small subunit ribosomal RNA", at positions 29 to 523 of the family's 1533-position model. The record is from RNAcentral.
AGUGAACGCUGGCGGCAUGCCUUACACAUGCAAGUCGAACGGUAACAGGUCUUCGGAUGCUGACGAGUGGCGAACGGGUGAGUAAUACAUCGGAACGUGCCUAGUAGUGGGGGAUAACUACUCGAAAGAGUGGCUAAUACCGCAUGAGAUCUACGGAUGAAAGCAGGGGAUCGCAAGACCUUGUGCUACUAGAGCGGCCGAUGGCAGAUUAGGUAGUUGGUGGGAUAAAAGCUUACCAAGCCGACGAUCUGUAGCUGGUCUGAGAGGACGAUCGGCCACACUGGGGCUGGGAAACGGCCCGGACUCCUACGGGAGGCAGCAGUGGGGAAUUUUGGACAAUGGGCGCAAGCCUGAUCCAGCAAUGCCGCGUGCAGGAUGAAGGCCUUCGGGUUGUAAACUGCUUUUGUACGGAACGAAAAGCCCCGGGUUAAUACCCUGGGGUCAUGACGGUACCGUAAGAAUAAGCACCGGCUAACUACGUGCCAGCCGCCGCCGUAA